RNAcentral lists this transfer RNA (85 nucleotides) under Ectopseudomonas oleovorans. RNAcentral describes it as "Pseudomonas oleovorans tRNA-Leu". It matches the Rfam family "tRNA". Rfam says of the family: Transfer RNA (tRNA) molecules are approximately 80 nucleotides in length. Their secondary structure includes four short double-helical elements and three loops (D, anti-codon, and T loops). RNAcentral also lists the same sequence under 1 other name. The record is from RNAcentral. Lineage: Bacteria; Pseudomonadati; Pseudomonadota; Gammaproteobacteria; Pseudomonadales; Pseudomonadaceae.
GCGAGGUUGGCGGAACUGGUAGACGCAUCGGACUUAAAAUCCGACGACUCAGGUCAUGCGGGUUCGAUUCCCGCACCUCGCACCA